AGAUGGGACCCAUCCUCAUCUGGAAGGCACCAUUUAUUGCAGCUAAACGAUGUUGAGGUGUGCAGUUAUGGUAAUAAAAUGCAAGCUGUAGUCCUGAGUCAGUGUAGCAGACUGUUGACAUUAGGUAGAGUCCAAAUCCAUCCUCAAAGCUCCAGUGUUACUUCUGUAAUUUCAUGCAUUCCCAGGCUGUAGAUGUGAAACAUCCCCAGCUGGCCUUCGAUCAAAGAGAACACCAUCCAGAGGCAGGCUGGGACAAAGAGGACAGAUCCGAGGGGGGAGGCAGAAACACUGGUCACUGGUACCUUAGGAUCAUGUUUAACAUGAACGAGAGAGAGAGAGAGAGAGAGAGAGAGAGAGAGAGAGAGAGAGAGAGAGAGAGACGAGGGGUGACAGGGAGAGAAAGCUAUGGGUUAUUAAGUAUCCUUAUUGUUGUAUAAUAGUUCAGGGCAAUGUUCAGUUGUGUCCUUUGGCAAAACUAGCUAUGGCAGCAUCCUUCCUACCAAAAAAAGGUUUGCCUAAAUAAAUAUGUUUUCAGCCUCAACUUGAACACUGAGACUGUGUCUGAGUCCUGAACACUGAUUGGAAGGCUGUUCCAUUAUUGUGGGACUUUAAAAGUGAAAAAUCUGCCCCCUGCUGUAGUCUUCAUUAUUUGAGGUACCAACAAAUAGCCUGCACCUACCAUUGUGUAUCAUCAAAAGAAACUAAUAACAUGCUACAUAUAAUUUCACCCAGAGGCAGAAUAUAUAAAGAGCAAAGAAUGGACCCCUGUCCUACACUAUAAUCCACAGUGUUUUAAAAAGACCUCAUUGCUAAAUAUACCCAUGAUGCAGCAGUGUUAGUGGAACGUUCUGGUCAAUUUCUGUUUCUUUUGUUGUUGUUUUAGAGAUCGUGUUACUCUGCUCUUCCUCAGGUUUUGUACUUUCACUCCCUUCAUUGCAUAAUAGUGUGUGUUUCUGCUCUAACAUACACACCCAAACUCACACACACACACACACACACACACACACACACACACACACACACCCCUAUGCUACCCUCAUAAAAGACAUGUAGGAGUGGUGUGUUUGAGCUCAGUUACGGAUCCAGGAUUAUAAAUCUUUAGGAUUUCCAAUCAUAGACACUUUUAUAAACGUCUUUAGUGUAUAUGUGUGUGUGUGUGUGUGUGUGUGUUUGUAUGUUAACGUGGCAUGAUGUCGUCACACAGGGCGAGGACACCUUACUGUAUUGUAGCUGUUGGACUCGUUAAACAAGCAUAGGAAUGCAGCACAUCUCAGCUACUUUCUGCUUUUUGUUGCGCACUGAGGUCUGUUUGCCGGAGCGAUGGACUUCACCUCAUACGUGGGACGCUGUAUCGGCUUCUUCCUCCUGGCACUUGUCCUGGACAUCGCCGGCCUUGUCCUGUUUCUGCUCGGCAUCUUCGCCCCGCUCAGUUUCUGGGAUUUUUUUGUGCUCUCAGGGCCCAUCAUAAUCUUCCUCAGUCUCCUCUUCUGGAUCUUGUGGUACUUGGGGAAUCUGAACGUUCCUUACCAGCAGCUCCUGACCUAAAGGAAUGGAAGUGAUGGUGGGAAAAAAGGGAUUGGAACAGGGCCAAGGAACUGGGGACUCUCAGAGACAAAGAGGGGGAACCAAGCAUUAUAGGGGGUUUAUGAACUGAACAGAGGAAUUUGCUGCUGUCAUGACGUGUCCGAAAACUCCCUAAUUCAGCAAAACGCCUUACACAACUCCCCAGGACUUUAUCUGCAAUCUGAGCACUUUGUUUAAUGGGCGCUUGUUCUAAAUUUGGAGCGAAGCCUCAUCGGUGAUGUUACCGUUCUGUAUUUAAAUAUAAAGAAAAAUAAAUGUGAUUUUUAAUGUACGGACGUGAAGUGAAGUGGUGGAUCACAGAGUAUACAAAGAAUUCAUUGUAAACACUGGAAUGACGUUCAGAUUCCAGGUCAAAGCUGUCUAACUGGAAAAGCCGGUAUGUGUGUGUGUGUGUGUGUGUGUGUGUGUGUGCAUGGUUCGUGCAUGGUGUGUGUAUGUUGAAACGCACCUUGAACAACAUUUAGGAAGUUUCUAAAAUAAUACUACAGCAUUAUGACUGAGCGUAUUUGGUGUGUUAUGAUGAUGCUGCUGUUGUGAAAUUGUAUUAUCUGUACUUCCUGUUUACCUCUCUCUCUCUCUCUUAAUAUAUAUAUAUAUAUCCAUCUAUCUCUCUCUCUCUCUCUAUCUUUCUCUCUCUCUUUCUGCCUUACCUGAAAGAUUGUCUAGACUUUAUUGCUUUGGUAUCAGGACACACCUCCUAAACACAUUCCAUGUUAUGUCCUUGUGAGAGUAUCUCACAGCAGUUCUGGAUCAUGAUUGGUCAGAAGGCAUUGUGAGACACUGUGAGCUUUUUCACGCCAAUUUUCUGACUUUGCUAAUAUUUGCUUAAAUUUCAGCUAGCUACUACAUGAAGGUAAACCUUAAUAGCAGUACGUUUUUGUAGCAGGAAAUCAAACCUGAACAAUUCAAAGCAGCUAGCUGAUGCUACUUAUACUAGUAUUCAAGGCUGUGAUUGGCUUAUUGACCUAAUAAUCCACCCUGUUUGACCCCCUGGGACACCUCUCAGAAAACAGGGAAGCUAAAAACAUAUGUUGGUGUCUCUUAAUGACGCCAUUUAAUAUGACAUUGCAGGAUUCGAGCGAAGCUCAUGCAGAGGGUCCCUAAGGAGUGUUCAUGUUGCGGUUUAGGGCACGCCCUGAGCUUCACCAGGGCUUUCAUAGAGAAGCCACUAAAAGCUUUGUGAUGUAAUUACAAAGCGGUGUAAUGUGGAGUGUUAGACAUCGAUCUCUGACCUUAAUCGCUGCUUUUAAUAAACCAAACUGACCAAA
Molecule: long non-coding RNA, 2852 nt
Organism: Silurus meridionalis
Lineage: Eukaryota; Metazoa; Chordata; Actinopteri; Siluriformes; Siluridae
Exons: 2
Source: RefSeq, a predicted model, not a curated record